This 318-nucleotide ribosomal RNA is filed under the name Triticum aestivum (bread wheat). RNAcentral's name for it is "partial small subunit ribosomal RNA". The record is from RNAcentral. Lineage: Eukaryota; Viridiplantae; Streptophyta; Magnoliopsida; Poales; Poaceae.
AUGUUAUUGAAGCACUCUUGUCCAUGCAGCCUUGUCUUCCACCCACAACUUAUCAUCUUCUCAGUGAACUUCAGUUUCUGCUGCACUGAUGUACGUAGUACUGAUGGCCUGAAGUUCCUUGCAUUUCUCAUUCAAGGUUUAAGUCGCUAUUCUUAUUCAAGGAGAACAGAACUAUCGGUCAAAGGCUGGCGAGUUUACUGGAGAAAGAGCAAAAACAUCGGUCAAAGGGAAGCACCCCACAAAGCUUUCUGGGUCAGUGGAAGAAGGGCACUUGUUCCUGCCAUGAAGCAAACAGGAAUGGCAGUACCUUCCAGAUGA